GGUUUUAUAUUUUAAUAUAAAAUAUUAAAUUGCAAAUUUAAAGAUACAUAAUUAGUGUUAAAACUU
This 66-nucleotide transfer RNA is filed under the name Amphioctopus fangsiao. RNAcentral's name for it is "tRNA-Cys". Lineage: Eukaryota; Metazoa; Mollusca; Cephalopoda; Octopoda; Octopodidae. The record is from RNAcentral.